This 904-nucleotide ribosomal RNA is filed under the name uncultured archaeon. RNAcentral describes it as "bacterial SSU rRNA". It matches the Rfam family "Archaeal small subunit ribosomal RNA", at positions 23 to 922 of the family's 1478-position model. The record is from RNAcentral.
GCUACUGCCAUCAGAGUUCGAUUAAGCCAUGUUAGUUAAGGGGACCUUCCUUCGGGGAGGUAACCCGGCAGACGGCUCAGUAACACGUGGACAACUUACCCUUGGGACCGGGAUAACCCCUGGGAAACUGGGGCUAAUACGGGAUAGAGCAUCGGCUGCUGGAAUGCGCGAUGUUCGAAAGCUGAGGCGCCCAAGGAUAGGUCUGCGGCUGAUUAGGUUGUUGUUGAUGUAACGGAUCAACAAGCCCGCGAUCGGUACGGGUUGUGAGAGCAAUAGCCCGGAGAUGUGUUCUGAGAAAAGAACCCAGGUCCUACGGGACGCAUCAGGCGCGUAAACUUUACAAUGUGCGAAAGCGCGAUAAGGGAACUCUGAGUGCCUCCUAAGGAGGCUGUUCAGGUGUCUAAAAAGCAUCUGGAGUAAGGGCUGGGCAAGACCGGUGCCAGCCGCCGCGGUAACACCGGCAGCUCAAGUGGUAGCCAUGCUUAUUGGGUCUAAAGCGUCCGUAGCCGGCUGAGUAAGUUCCUUGGGAAAUUUGACCGCUUAACGGUUAAGCUAUCAGGGAAUACUGCUUGGCUUGGGACCGGGAGAGGUCAGAGGUACUCCAGGGGUAGGGGUGAAAUCUAUUAAUCCUUGGGGGACCACCGGUAGCGAAGGCGUCUGACCAGACCGGGUCCGACGGUGAGGGACGAAGGCUGGGGUCGCGAACCGGAUUAGAUACCCGGGUAGUCCCAGCUGUAAACGAUGCGGGCCAGGUGUUGGCAUUACUGCGAGUGAUGUCAGUGCCAAAGGGAAGCCGUUAAGCCCGCCAUCUGGGGAGUACGGUCGCAAGGCUGAAACUUAAAGAAAUUGGCGGGGGAGCACCACAACGGGUGGAGCCUGCGGUUCAAUUGGAUUCAACGCCGGA